UCCAGACUCCUACGGGAGGCAGCAGUGGGGAAUAUUGCGCAAUGGGCGAAAGCCUGGCGCAGCGACGCCGCGUGAGGGAUGGAGGUCUUCGGAUCGUAAACCUCUGUCAGCAGGGAAGAACGGUCACUGUGCUAAUCAGCAGUGAAUUGACGGUACCUGCAAAGGAAGCACCGGCUAACUCCGUGCCAGCAGCCGCGGUAAUACGGAGGGUGCGAGCGUUAUCCGGAUUUAUUGGGUUUAAAGGGUGCGUAGGCGGAUUUUUAAGUCAGCGGUAAAAUGUCCGGGCUCAACCCGGGCCGGCCGUUGAAACUGGGGAUCUUGAGUGGGCGAGAAGUAUGCGGAAUGCGUGGUGUAGCGGUGAAAUGCAUAGAUAUCACGCAGAACUCCGAUUGCGAAGGCAGCAUACCGGCGCCCGACUGACGCUGAAGCACGAAAGCGUGGGUAUCGAACAGGAUUAGAUACCCUUGUAUG
RNAcentral lists this ribosomal RNA (471 nucleotides) under uncultured bacterium. RNAcentral's name for it is "bacterial SSU rRNA". It matches the Rfam family "Bacterial small subunit ribosomal RNA", at positions 330 to 794 of the family's 1533-position model. The record is from RNAcentral.